UGGACCAGGAAGCGCCCUGGUAAACUUAGCUCUUUAGUCUUUUGGGGGCACCUGGCUGUACUUCAGAGAGAAAGCAGAUGAAGCAAAGACAAGCCCAUUGUCAGGGACCCCAGAUGGGAAGGAACAGAGAAUCGGACACCAGGGAAGAGCACGUGGCUACUUGAAAGACAUCACCCAGGGAAGGAGGAAGGAGCAAGACAUAAUCGUGUUUUUCUUUUCAUGUGUUUUUUUUAAACGACUUUUACAAACAUGAGUUCAUCUAUUCAUGACAAGAUAGAGGUGGUGAUUUUUAUUUUACUACUGAGAAACUGCAACCCCAGAGAAGGAUCUUUCCGGCUGUCAGUGCUAUUGUUGGCUCCUGUAGAUGAGCAUUGUAGAAUGGCCCCAACAAACCAGGUCUCCUGCACCAUGGGCUUCCCAGUGUGAUAUUGCUGCUCCUCCCAGCAGUCGGCUUUUCUCUGCCUUUGGCCUCAAAAUUGCUUCAAAAGCAUCAAGUGACUUACUCAGCAGAGUGAAGGCUCGAGACAGAACGUGCUGUGCAAAUGCAGUGUUUGCCUUUGGAAUAUUAACCUCGAGAGGCUCGGGUGAGCUGGGAAGUCGAGAGCCUUCCUCUCGGUCCCUGGCAGCCUGCUCAGGCUGUGCGUGUUUUUCCAGCUCGAAGAGUGAUGAGCCUCUUCUGCACACUCCAGAUGUUUCCAGCCCUGCGGCGCCGUCGUCGUCUAAAGCAAGCUGCCGGGCACCGACUCUUCGGGUGACAUUCUCCCACAGGUUCUCUCGAAUGGGUUUGGCUUUGCUGCAGGGAACGAGGAAAAGACCUGUGUUUGUGUUUUCUCUCGUAAAGAAUACGGACACCGUAAUCUGCUUUACAUCUGGGUCUGACUGCACACAAGAGAGAGUGGGUGGAAUGGGUGGUGGGCAAGUCAGCUGCGGGGGAGGCGGGGGCCCCCCGCCGAUAGCACACCUGUGUAGGUGUGACAGGGCAGCUCGCUGGGUGGAGGAGUCUCUGGAAGACUCGAGGCCCCUCCACUGGAGGCUGGAGGAGGGGACUGUUGCUGUUUUUCAGUGAUUCCGGGCUCUUUCCCCCUUGGAGCAUUUCUGGUUCUGUCUGGGUUUUCUGGAAGCAGUUAGAAGAAACAGCUGGAUGUUGGAGGGAAAAUGUCUAAUGUGCUUAACAUCUUUAUAAAGGCGAUUCACAUUUAGAGAAAGGAUUUGAGUUGAUUUUCCCCAAACCAGCUCUCUUCUCUCUCUGUGCAAAGGCUUUCCUAAAACUUCCCAAUGUGUAGAGGGUGGAUUAAACAAGUGAGAAGUCAUAAAGUGCAGCCCUAUUUAAAUAGAGGCACCUAUGGCCCAGGCAUCUGAUUAUGGAUGAGUGUUGAGUGCCACUUGCAAAGUGUGCAGCCGGCCUGCCUUAAAUAACACUCCCUAGGCCCAAGCAGUCCUGAAGAGGUUUCUAGGAUUAGAUCACAGCCUGGCAAAAGCAGAGCAAGUCUGGAAAAGUCCUAGGAGGAUGGAAAAACAUUUUUUCCUCUUUUGUUUCAAAUCUAUCAGAUCAAGCAGCUGAUGCAAGCUUUGGACCAAAUGAAACAUUUCAAUAACUCGUAUUGUUAAAUCACAAUCAGCUGGAGGAAUUUGAUUUGCGACCGGCUCAGAAGAAUAUUCUUGGGGAUAUUUUGAAAGGAUCACCAAGAGCAAAUUACUGCCAUUGUUCCUUAAGGGAAAAAGGAUUUGUUUUAUUCAAUAAACUGCAGGGCGCUCAGCAGGGUAACUGGCAGACGGAAGAGGGCCUCAUCAAGUGUCUUAGUCAGCUUGGGCUGCUCUAACAAAAUACCUUAGACUGGGUGGCUUGAGCAAGAGAAAGUUACUUUUCACAGUUCUGGAGGCUGGCAGGUCCUACUUCGAAGGGCCAGCUGAUUUGAUUCCUGGCUUGCAGAUGGUCUUCUCGUUUAGUAGAGAAAGACAGCUCUUUCUUCCCAUUGUUUCUUCUUAUAAGGCCACUAACCCCAUCCUGAGGAUUCCACCCUGGGUCACUUGAUUCCCUCCCAAAGGCCUCAUCUCCAAAUAUUAUCACAUUGGGAGUUAGGGCUUCAGCAUAUGAGUUCAGGCGGGGGUUG
Long non-coding RNA from Canis lupus familiaris (dog), 2111 nucleotides. RefSeq lists it as uncharacterized. The record is from RefSeq and is a predicted model, not a curated record. The transcript is spliced from 3 exons. NCBI's taxonomy places the organism in Eukaryota, Metazoa, Chordata, Mammalia, Carnivora, Canidae.